This 682-nucleotide ribosomal RNA is filed under the name uncultured soil bacterium. Its description in RNAcentral is "bacterial SSU rRNA". It matches the Rfam family "Bacterial small subunit ribosomal RNA", at positions 34 to 762 of the family's 1533-position model. The record is from RNAcentral.
CGCUGGCGGCAUGCCUAACACAUGCAAGUCGAACGAGACCUUCGGGUCUAGUGGCGCACGGGUGCGUAACGCGUGGGAAUCUGCCCUUCGGUUCGGAAUAACAGUUAGGAAUGACUGCUAAUACCGGAUAAUGACGUAAGUCCAAAGAUUUAUCGCCGAAGGAUGAGCCCGCGUAGGAUUAGCUUGUUGGUGAGGUAAAAGCUCACCAAGGCGACGAUCCUUAGCUGGUCUGAGAGGAUGAUCAGCCACACUAGGACUGAGACACGGCCCAGACUCCUACGGGAGGCAGCAGUGGGGAAUAUUGGACAAUGGGCGAAAGCCUGAUCCAGCAAUGCCGCGUGAGUGAUGAAGGCCUUAGGGUCGUAAAGCUCUUUUACCAGGGAUGAUAAUGACAGUACCUGGAGAAUAAGCUCCGGCUAACUCCGUGCCAGCAGCCGCGGUAAUACGGAGGGAGCUAGCGUUGUUCGGAAUUACUGGGCGUAAAGCGUACGUAGGCGGUUAUUCAAGUCAGAGGUGAAAGCCCGGGGCUCAACCCCGGAACGGCCUUUGAAACUAGGUAGCUAGAAUCUUGGAGAGGUCAGUGGAAUUCCGAGUGUAGAGGUGAAAUUCGUAGAUAUUCGGAAGAACACCAGUGGCGAAGGCAACUGACUGGACAAGUAUUGACGCUGAGGUACGAAAGCGU